AUCAGUGUGUAGCAAAGUGAGUCUGGGCGGCUCGUGAACGCUGAGUGAGGUUGCGCCGCAGCUUUCCAGCCUCCCACAAGGCGUGGCUUCGCCUUUUGAUAGAGAGAAGUUUUUUUUUUUUUCUCUGAACAUCUCAUUCCUGUGAGCUGAGCACUGAGAGUUCACAAGAACUCUGCCCUCAUCACAACUUCUUCUGCAGAACCAUGAAGACGGUCACUAUUGAGUAUUGUAAAGACUGAAGUUAUGCGUACCGCUACCAGGAACUAGCCGGCGUUCUCCGGCAGAUUCCUGGAGUGAAGGUAAAAGGAGUCACGGGGAGGACAGAUAGCUUUGAGGUAUUCCUGGAGGAUGAACUUCUCUACUCAAAGCUAGAGACGAAGUCGUUUCCAGAUCCUGAGCAGAUGGCGGACAAGGUGAUGGAGAAGGUUCCUGACGAAAACGCCAAGAAGAAAUCCAAGAGACGGAUAUGCUCUGUCCAGUAAAAAGGUGGAGAAGCAAACAGUUAUAUUCACACCGGCAAAAAAAAAAAAACAACAAACAACAAAAAAAAGCUGUAAACCUGUUAUGCGCGUCCGGAGUAUGAAAAUUAGGGAAAGGAUUUUAAUAAGUGGAUGCAAAAUGGAAAGAGCCGACGCGGCUGUGUCGCGGCUGUGAGUGUAAACGAGACGUUUGUGAGAGCGGCUCUCUGGAUCCAGGCGGCGAUCGACGCCUCUUUUUAUGAAUGCACACACCUAAAACUCAAGUGGUGUGUGCACGAUGCAAGCCGAGAAGCUUCUCGGCCGCCUGGAGCCCGACGGUCUGCUUAAGUCCCAUCAAAGUCAUGAGGAACGGAGGGGGAGGGGAAGAGAUGUUCCUGAGAGUCUACGACUCUCAGGAACAUUCACUUAAUUUUUGACGUAUGUGAUGUCUUUAUGAUCUAAAAUAUCUCAUUAAUAUCCGUUUUCCUCUAUCAAAAGUUAAUUACAGAGGAGCAAUAAAGCCAUAAAAUCUGGGCUCAUUAUUCUAUUUUAUAUUUAACCUAAUCUCUGACCCACUUCUCUUCCCACAAUAUCCUGCUGACCAAAAAUAAGCUGCAGAGCUGAGAAACAUGUUUUUCAGAUUGUGAGUUGGGCCCCACAUGGGAACAGGGAAGCCUGGGAACGUAAGACCAAAAACGGCUGUACUUAAUAAACAUUUUAAUAGCACAUGAUAUUCAACACGUGUGUUUAUAUAUAUAUAUAUAUAUAUAUAUAUAUAUAUAUAUAUAUUACCCCCAAGGCAGAUAAUAUUUGAUUAAAACCAUGAAUUUGGGUGAAGCAAAUGUUGGUUUAUGUUAGCUUAGCUUUGCUAUUAUAUUAAAUAUUUUUUCAUCCAACCAACUGCAUAACAUUAAACAAAAAUAAAUUAAUUCUUGUCAGAUAUAAAAGUUGUUUUUUUUUAAGUAGACAAAGCUAUAAUUUCCCCUGAAUGUUUAUUUCAUGUUAUUUUAUGCUGUUAACUUCCUGUUCGUAGUUUUUUUUUUAUUUUACUUUCAGUUACUGUAAAACUAUAUAUAUAUAUAUAUAUAUAUAUAUAUAUAUAUAUAUAUAUAUAUUUGCAUCAACAUUAUUAUUGAAUAUGUUGAACUUUUCUUUCUUUUUUUUCUUUUCUUUUUGGUAAAUAUUUUUGGACAUUAAGUAAGACACAGAAUGUUUUUUUCCUAUCUUGAAUCUGGACAUAAAUGCCACGAUUUCCGCCAUUUGCAGACUUUAUGCUAAGUUGCGCUAACUUGCUGCUAGCGUGGGAGAUUUUCUUUAAGGUCGUGUUUAACGAUGGGAGUAGUCGGGUAAAGAAACGCCAGAAAUGUUUACUUUGGAUAUUUAUGACAAACCUCACAACAGGAACAACUGUACAAUAACAUUGUAAAGCAAAGUGCUACAUGGCCCGUAUUUGGACCCUUGAAGCACUGCUCCUGUAACACAUGUUGUCCCCGUUCAAUAAAAUGUAACUCAUUGC
Long non-coding RNA from Xiphophorus couchianus (Monterrey platyfish), 1974 nucleotides. RefSeq lists it as uncharacterized. Lineage: Eukaryota; Metazoa; Chordata; Actinopteri; Cyprinodontiformes; Poeciliidae. The transcript is spliced from 4 exons. The record is from RefSeq and is a predicted model, not a curated record.